UGGAGGAACAACCACAGUGGAGGGGGCCAGCUCUGCAGCCCUGGAGUCAGCCCCCGCAGUAGUUCCGGAGCUCUCCGUCUGCAGGGCCUGGAGGCUCCAGGGUGGG
RNAcentral lists this microRNA precursor (106 nucleotides) under Canis lupus familiaris (dog). RNAcentral describes it as "mir-8834 microRNA precursor family". It matches the Rfam family "mir-8834 microRNA precursor family". The record is from Rfam by way of RNAcentral. Lineage: Eukaryota; Metazoa; Chordata; Mammalia; Carnivora; Canidae.